UACGGGGGGGGCAAGCGUUGUUCGGAAUUACUGGGCGUAAAGGGCUCGUAGGCGGCCAACUAAGUCAGACGUGAAAUCCCCAGGCUCAACCUGGGAACUGCGUCUGAUACUGGAUGGCUUGAAUUCGGGAGAGGGAUGCAGAAUUCCAGGUGUAGCGGUGAAAUGCGUAGAUAUCUGGAGGAAUACCGGUGGCGAAGGCGGCAUCCUGGACCGACAUUGACGCUGAGGCGCGAAAGCUAGGGGAGCGAACGGG
RNAcentral lists this ribosomal RNA (253 nucleotides) under uncultured bacterium. RNAcentral describes it as "partial 16S ribosomal RNA". It matches the Rfam family "Bacterial small subunit ribosomal RNA", at positions 524 to 776 of the family's 1533-position model. The record is from RNAcentral.